AGAUGUGGGGACGUUAAGGCCAUCUGGCUGUGACAUCUGUCACCCCAUUGAAUCCAAAGGUUGAUUUGGCUGAUCUGGAUGGCUAGGCGGGUCCCCUUUCUUCCCCACCACUCUGUCUGCAUCCCUCCCAAAGCCGUGAGCUCUGUUGAGAAGGACGACCAUCCUUGACAGAGGAGGACUGUUCUUUAGUCAAGUACACAAGUAGCUGUGCUCCCCUGCUAGAAACUCCAAACAAGCUCUCAAUAAGAAACAUGGACACAGAAGGAGGAGGCCAUAUGGACAUGAAGGAGGGACUGGAGUGAGACAUCUA
Molecule: small nuclear RNA, 310 nt
Filed under: Castor canadensis (American beaver)
Lineage: Eukaryota; Metazoa; Chordata; Mammalia; Rodentia; Castoridae
Description: 7SK RNA (ENSCCNG00000031581.1)
Rfam family: 7SK RNA
About the family: 7SK was discovered as an abundant small nuclear RNA in the mid-70s but a possible function has only recently been suggested.
Source: RNAcentral